CCUGAUCACAGAAGAGGCAGCAGCUCCUUUGGUGACCCAUUUCUGCAUUGUGGCUUUUUGUUCCUGAAAGCUUGACUUGAAGGCUCUUUCUUCAGCUUUCCCAGUGAUUCAAAAAUUUGUACUAACUGGCCAUUCCCUCCAGUGAGAAGGAAGGACGUCCUACAACUGGUCCAAAACAAACCUUUCCAUCCGGGCAUGGCUAUGCUAGGUACCAUGUGGGAUAUAAAGAAGACAUACACAGCUCCUGCUUUUAAGAAAUUUACGUCUUGUCUUGGGAGAUAAGACAAAUGAAAAGGAAGCGGAUGAUCUGUUGUAGAAGAGAUAACAGCAUACACCCAACAUGUAUAUGAUUAAGUUAUAAAAUGUAAACCCAUAGGAAAUGUUAUGAGGUGUCAUUAUUGAUGUAGAUGAAAACAGAGCUGACCACACGAGUGUAAAUAAAACAGAACCCUACUUCACUCUUUUUACCCUCCUUCAAUAUUGGCUACCACCAUUCUCAAGUUGUUACUGUGAGAUUAACUGGCAAGUGUUUAUCCUUAACAUAAGUGUGAAGGGAGCCCUACGAAGUGGUUUUGUUAGUAGUCUCAUUUCUCCUACAAAAGUGGUAUGCUCAGGCUUAAGUUGAAAUAUGUCUACACUCACCUGUCAUUUGGGAAUGUCUCUCUUGGAAUGCAAUGCGACCUGUAUCACACAGCCAGUAAGAGGCAGAGUCAGGAGUUGAACCAAGCAGUCUGUCCCCAAAGCCUAUAGGCUUAGCCGCUGCCUUCAGGAAAGAAAAGGGAAAAUAACCCCUGCUGAGUAGUUACUAUGUGCCAGGCACUCUGUUAAGCACUUUCACAAACACUAUUUCAUUUAGACAAUACUUAGAAAUAGCUGUUAUAACCCUCUCCCCCUCCAUCCCCCGCCCCGUUCUGUAGAUGAGGAACAAAACAGAGGAUCAGAGAGGUUAAGUAAGUUACCUAAAGUCACAACAGCUGCUAAAUAGCAGAGAUAGGAUUCAAACCCAAGACUUUUUGACUCCAAAGCGCAUGCCUGUUCUAUCAUUUCAGGUAAUAAUGGCAAACAUCUUUCAAAACAUUGUCGUGAGACACUAAUAAAAAGAGUUUGGUGGUGUUGGGAGUGUACACCCUCUGCUAGCCUGGCUCCGUACUGCGCUUGUGUUUGUUAGCAAUUCCACUCGGACUUUUCUCUCUAACCCCCAUUGUCUCCCUUCUGGGGUCCUUUCCUACCCUGUGGUUUCCUUUU
Molecule: long non-coding RNA, 1245 nt
Organism: Rhinolophus ferrumequinum (greater horseshoe bat)
Lineage: Eukaryota; Metazoa; Chordata; Mammalia; Chiroptera; Rhinolophidae
Exons: 3
Source: RefSeq, a predicted model, not a curated record